Molecule: long non-coding RNA, 419 nt
Organism: Ostrea edulis (European flat oyster)
Lineage: Eukaryota; Metazoa; Mollusca; Bivalvia; Ostreida; Ostreidae
Exons: 2
Source: RefSeq, a predicted model, not a curated record
CAUAUGACAUCAUCAGGCUGAACAUUACACAACGAGCAGAAGGACUGACAGCCACUACAUGAUGUACUUAGUGUUCUGGGCCAUUGUUGAAAAUGACAGUUUCAGUGAUGUGUAAUUUGGAGAUCUACUCUGUGUUUUCCUUUAGAAACUAAAUUUAGAUCCUGAAAUUGGGACUCUGGUGAUUCAGCCAUUCUGUGGAACCAGAGAGUGGGCCAGACGCAGCCUUUCUACUGCAGACCAGCCAAGCCUAUGUGUUAGCGGUGGAAGUAACAGAAAGCGUGAAUCUUUUUUCUCUCUCCAAUAUUCAAUGACUAGUCUCUGAGAAUUAUGGGAUGUGUUUCAGCAGAAGAUGAAGGGGUGGGUGUUUCUUUCUGUGAAUUAUAUUGUCUGGGAACUGUUAGAUGAUAUUAUGUGGUAAU